Molecule: ribosomal RNA, 381 nt
Filed under: uncultured eukaryote
Lineage: Eukaryota
Description: SSU rRNA
Rfam family: Eukaryotic small subunit ribosomal RNA
Source: RNAcentral
AGCUCCAAUAGCGUAUAUUAAAGUUGUUGCGGUUAAAAAGCUCGUAGUUGGAUUUCUGUCAAAAUCGGCCGGUCCCUUCUACGAAGGUGUAUCUGGUUCGGUUUCGGCAUCCUCUUGGGGUACGUUUCUGCGCUUGAUUGCGUGGGACGGAAUUCAAGACUUUUACUUUGAGGAAAUUAGAGUGUUCACAGCAAGCCUUUGCUUUGAAUAUGUUAGCAUGGAAUAAUAAUAUAGGGCGUGAGUUCUAUUUUGUUGGUUUCUAGGAUUCACGCAAUGAUUAAUAGGGACAAUUGGGGGCAUUCGUAUUAACGCGUCAGAGGUGGAAUUCUUAGAUUGCGUUACGACGAACUACUGCGAAAGCAUUUGCCAAGGAUGUUUUCA